This 468-nucleotide ribosomal RNA is filed under the name uncultured bacterium. RNAcentral describes it as "partial 16S ribosomal RNA". It matches the Rfam family "Bacterial small subunit ribosomal RNA", at positions 28 to 507 of the family's 1533-position model. The record is from RNAcentral.
GACGAACGCUGGCGGCGUGCUUAACACAUGCAAGUCGAACGGAAAGGCCCUGCUUUUGUGGGGUGCUCGAGUGGCGAACGGGUGAGUCACACGUGCGUAACCUGCCUUUGACUUUGGGAUAACUUCAGGAAACUGGGGCUAAUACCGGAUAGGAGCUCCUGCUGCAUGGUGGGGGUUGGAAAGUUUCGGCGGUUGGGGAUGGACUCGCGGCUUAUCAGCUUGUUGGUGGGGUAGUGGCUUACCAAGGCUUUGACGGGUAGCCGGCCUGAGAGGGUGACCGGCCACAUUGGGACUGAGAUACGGCCCAGACUCCUACGGGAGGCAGCAGUGGGGAAUAUUGCACAAUGGGCGGAAGCCUGAUGCAGCAACGCCGCGUGCGGGAUGACGGCCUUCGGGUUGUAAACCGCUUUCGCCUGUGACGAAGCGUGAGUGACGGUAAUGGGUAAAGAAGCACCGGCUAACUACGUG